RNAcentral lists this long non-coding RNA (213 nucleotides) under Eucalyptus grandis. RNAcentral's name for it is "long non-coding RNA (EGRA_LNC003417)". The record is from RNAcentral. Lineage: Eukaryota; Viridiplantae; Streptophyta; Magnoliopsida; Myrtales; Myrtaceae.
GAGCCCAUAUCUAUCGGGCGAAACUCUUAAGAGAUCGUGGCAAGGGUAUGCUGGGAUUGAGAUGAAUGAAGCCCCAAAUCUAGCACACAUACACGGACGACUUCUGGGGUUCCUAGAGGCUGGUCCUUCUGGAAACGAUACAGGGCUUUGUAACCGAUUGGAUUCAGUGUUGCUUACGCCAUUCUCGAUCUGUUCUUUCACUUACCAAGGUUG